GACGAACGCUGGCGGCGUGCCUAACACAUGCAAGUCGAGCGGAGAUGAUGUGAGGAAGUUUUCGGAUGGAAUCACAUUAUUUUAGCGGCGGACGGGUGAGUAACGCGUGAGCGACCAACCUUGCACAGGGGGAUAACGGACCGAAAGGUUCACUAAUACCGCAUGAGACCACGGUGUUGCAUGACACAAGGGUCAAAGGAGGAAUCCGGUGCAAGACGGGCUCGCGUCCGAUUAGGUAGUUGGAGGGGUAACGGCCAACCAAGCCUAUGAUCGGUAGCCGACCUGAGAGGGUGAUCGGCCACAUUGGAACUGAGAUACGGUCCAAACUCCUACGGGAGGCAGCAGUGGGGAAUAUUGGGCAAUGGGGGAAACCCUGACCCAGCAACGCCGCGUGAAGGAAGAAGGUUUUCGGAUUGUAAACUUCUGUCCUUGGUGAAGAGAAGAAGACGGUAGCCAAGGAGGAAGCCCCGGCUAACUACGUGCCAGCAGCCGCGGUAA
RNAcentral lists this ribosomal RNA (498 nucleotides) under uncultured bacterium. Its description in RNAcentral is "partial 16S ribosomal RNA". It matches the Rfam family "Bacterial small subunit ribosomal RNA", at positions 28 to 523 of the family's 1533-position model. The record is from RNAcentral.